RNAcentral lists this ribosomal RNA (880 nucleotides) under Exserohilum turcicum. RNAcentral's name for it is "partial 28S ribosomal RNA". It matches the Rfam family "Eukaryotic large subunit ribosomal RNA", at positions 64 to 962 of the family's 3401-position model. RNAcentral also lists the same sequence under 1 other name. Lineage: Eukaryota; Fungi; Ascomycota; Dothideomycetes; Pleosporales; Pleosporaceae. The record is from RNAcentral.
ACCAACAGGGAUUGCCCUAGUAACGGCGAGUGAAGCGGCAACAGCUCAAAUUUGAAAUCUGGCUCUUUCAGAGUCCGAGUUGUAAUUUGCAGAGGGCGCUUUGGCUUUGGCAGCGGUCCAAGUUCCUUGGAACAGGACGUCACAGAGGGUGAGAAUCCCGUACGUGGUCGCUAGCUAUUGCCGUGUAAAGCCCCUUCGACGAGUCGAGUUGUUUGGGAAUGCAGCUCUAAAUGGGAGGUAAAUUUCUUCUAAAGCUAAAUAUUGGCCAGAGACCGAUAGCGCACAAGUAGAGUGAUCGAAAGAUGAAAAGCACUUUGGAAAGAGAGUCAAACAGCACGUGAAAUUGUUGAAAGGGAAGCGCUUGCAGCCAGACUUGCUUGCAGUUGCUCAUCCGGGCUUUUGCCCGGUGCACUCUUCUGCAGGCAGGCCAGCAUCAGUUUGGGCGGUGGGAUAAAGGUCUCUGUCAUGUACCUCUCUUCGGGGAGGCCUUAUAGGGGAGGCGACAUACCACCAGCCUAGACUGAGGUCCGCGCAUCUGCUAGGAUGCUGGCGUAAUGGCUGUAAGCGGCCCGUCUUGAAACACGGACCAAGGAGUCUAACAUCUAUGCGAGUGUUUGGGUGUCAAGCCCGAGCGCGUAAUGAAAGUGAACGGAGGUGGGAACCCGCAAGGGUGCACCAUCGACCGAUCCUGAAGUUUACGGAAGGAUUUGAGUAAGAGCAUGGCUGUUGGGACCCGAAAGAUGGUGAACUAUGCUUGAAUAGGGUGAAGCCAGAGGAAACUCUGGUGGAGGCUCGCAGCGGUUCUGACGUGCAAAUCGAUCGUCAAAUUUGGGCAUAGGGGCGAAAGACUAAUCGAACUAUCUAGUAGCUGGUUCCUGCG